AUAUACAGACAGUGACAGAGGAAGGCAUAUAGAAUAAAGAUUCCUGAGUCUUGUGCCCUCGAAGGCACAAGACUCAGGAAUCUUUAUUCUAUAUGCCUUCCUCUGUCACUG
Molecule: small RNA, 111 nt
Filed under: Pelobates cultripes (western spadefoot toad)
Lineage: Eukaryota; Metazoa; Chordata; Amphibia; Anura; Pelobatidae
Source: RNAcentral